CCUACGGGAGGCAGCAGUGGGGAAUCUUGCGCAAUGGCCGAGAGGCUGACGCAGCGACGCCGCGUGGGGGAUGAAGCAUUUCGGUGUGUAAACCCCUGUUGCUCGGGACGAACGAUCCUUUUCGAGGGAUGUGACGGUACCGAGUGUGGAAGCACCGGCUAACUCCGUGCCAGCAGCCGCGGUAAUACGGAGGGUGCGAGCGUUGUCCGGAAUCACUGGGCGUAAGGGCGCGUAGGUGGUUAGAUGCGCCGGUGGUGAAAGCGCAGGGCUCAACCCUGCGUCGGCCAUCGGGACGGUCUGACUGGAGCACUGUAGAGGCAGGUGGAAUUCCGGGUGUAGCGGUGGAAUGCGUAGAGAUCCGGAAGAACACCGGUGGCGAAGGCGGCCUGCUGGGCAGUUGCUGACACUGAGGCGCGACAGCGUGGGGAGCAAACAGGAUUAGAUACCCUGGUAGUCCACGCCGUAAACGAUGGGCACUAGGUGCUUGGGGGAGCGACCCCCUGAGUGCCGACGCUAACGCAUUAAGUGCCCCGCCUGGGGAGUACGACCGCAAGGUUGAAACUCAAAGGAAUUGACGG
Molecule: ribosomal RNA, 578 nt
Filed under: uncultured bacterium
Lineage: Bacteria
Description: bacterial SSU rRNA
Rfam family: Bacterial small subunit ribosomal RNA
Source: RNAcentral